GACGUAGGGAGCGAGCGUUGUCCGGAAUUACUGGGCGUAAAGAGCUCGUAGGCGGGACCGUAAGUCCGAGAGGAAAUCUCAAGGCUCAACUUUGGGGCUUUCUUGGAUACUGCGGUUCUUGAGGAUGAGAGAGGUAAGUAGAAUUCCCGGUGUAGCGGUGAAAUGCGUAGAUAUCGGGAGGAAUACCAGUGGCGAAGGCGGCUUACUGGCUCAUUCCUGACGCUGAGGAGCGAAAGCGUGGGGAGCAAGCGGG
This 253-nucleotide ribosomal RNA is filed under the name uncultured bacterium. Its description in RNAcentral is "partial 16S ribosomal RNA". It matches the Rfam family "Bacterial small subunit ribosomal RNA", at positions 524 to 776 of the family's 1533-position model. The record is from RNAcentral.